This 465-nucleotide ribosomal RNA is filed under the name Vreelandella stevensii. Its description in RNAcentral is "partial 16S ribosomal RNA". It matches the Rfam family "Bacterial small subunit ribosomal RNA", at positions 338 to 795 of the family's 1533-position model. Lineage: Bacteria; Pseudomonadati; Pseudomonadota; Gammaproteobacteria; Oceanospirillales; Halomonadaceae. The record is from RNAcentral.
CCUACGGGUGGCAGCAGUGGGGAAUAUUGGACAAUGGGCGAAAGCCUGAUCCAGCCAUGCCGCGUGUGUGAAGAAGGCCUUCGGGUUGUAAAGCACUUUCAGUGGGGAAGAAAGCCUUGGGGCUAAUACCCUCGAGGAAGGACAUCACCCACAGAAGAAGCACCGGCUAACUCCGUGCCAGCAGCCGCGGUAAUACGGAGGGUGCGAGCGUUAAUCGGAAUUACUGGGCGUAAAGCGCGCGUAGGCGGUCUGAUAAGCCGGUUGUGAAAGCCCCGGGCUCAACCUGGGAACGGCAUCCGGAACUGUCAGGCUAGAGUGCAGGAGAGGGAGGUAGAAUUCCCGGUGUAGCGGUGAAAUGCGUAGAGAUCGGGAGGAAUACCAGUGGCGAAGGCGGCCUUCUGGACUGACACUGACGCUGAGGUGCGAAAGCGUGGGUAGCAAACAGGAUUAGAUACCCCUGUAGUC